GGACCAUGUCGAAGUCUGACGGAGCACGCCGCGUGAGCGAUGAAGGCCUUCGGGUCUGUAAGCUCUGUUGUUAGGGAAGAACAAGUACCGGAGUAACUGCCGGUACCUUGACGGUACCUAACCAGAAAGCCACGGCUAACUACGUGCCAGCAGCCGCGGUAAUAG
Molecule: ribosomal RNA, 165 nt
Filed under: uncultured bacterium
Lineage: Bacteria
Description: partial 16S ribosomal RNA
Rfam family: Bacterial small subunit ribosomal RNA
Source: RNAcentral